AAAGAUUUGGCAUCCAUUAACCAAAGAAGGGGGAUCUUGAGGAACUAAACAGUGCCCCACCAAAAUAUCAGAUUACAAACAAACAAAGCAAAGCAGGAAAAGAAAAAUUCCUGAAAGGAAAAAGCCAAAAAAACCCUAGCAAAAAAAAAACCAAAAUGUAAUAGACCCCCUACAAAACAAAACAAAGGAACCAGUUGAUGAGAGCUCUCUAAUGAUCGGGCAGCUACACAGCUGCAAUUGGGUAACUAGAGAUCUUGUGGAAAGUAAAAGAAAGCCAUAGCUUCAGAGAUAAGGAUCACGAUUUUCGAAACCCACCAGAGAGAAAACAAAUCUAGAACAUGGACAUCCAGGCCAACCAGUCCGCAUUAUUGUGCCUCCGUGAAAUGUCGACCUUCUCAAGCCAAAAUAUGAGCUGUUGCAUUCGCGUCUCUCCGCGCAUGAUGAAAGGUAAUCUCCAUGAAAAAACCCAAUUUAUAUUUGAUGUCCGUGAUAAUCGGGCUCAGGAUCGAACAAUCCACAUUGUAUGAAUUCACCUUUUUAAUAACAGUUAAAGAGUCACAUUUGAUUUGAACUCUCCGAAACCCAAGAUUGAUUGCCAAGACGAUAGCCCAUUCACUGGCUCUGGUCUCAGCAACAAAAGCGUUCACCACCGCGGCAUGUGGGUAAGUACUAGCACCUAUUAUCUGACCCCUUUCAUUGCCCGCUAAGACCUUUAAGAUAGAAACUUUAGACAUUGCUUGAAACGUCAUGUCAAAGUUAACUUUAAUGGUUCCGGAAGGAGGUGGGUUUUAAAGAUACUGCUGAUUUGGGCUGCGAGUAACAAUGGCAAGUGCUACGCAUCAAGUUCCCUUAAAUGACCCAUGAUGAACCAACCAGCUCUUGCACGGAUUAUCUGACCCCCUCGUGAAUCAAUUUGUUUCAUAUGUACCAGAGAGCCUAGUAGGUAACAGCUAACAACUUUCUAUUAUUAGUUCUUGUGGCAUGAAACGUCUGAACUAACCAAUCUUUGUAGUCAGAAAAAUCAGAAGUAAGGAGCAUAUCAGUCUUUAACACAGUCAGGAUUUGGCAAGUGACAGAACAAAAACGCAGCAUAUGGUCCACGGACUCCCCAGGCUCUUAAAAUAGAGGGUAUAUAUUUGUAACCUGUAGAUGUCUUUAAAAUAGGUUGUCAAACGUAGGGAGAAAAUUGUUGUAGGACUUCCAUAGGUAUAUUUUGAUCUUGCUGGGGAUAGGCAGUUCCCACAUCUCUUUGUAAAAUGAGUUGGCAGUGUUAGGAAGAUGGGUAUGGAAGCUCCUAAAUUUUGUAAUUUCUCAAGAAGGAGCAGCUUGUACCCACUUUUGACAGAGUAGAUCCCAGUACAUUCAUGAAACCAAACUAGUGCCCGGAGGUUUCAACUGAGCAAGCGGAAUAGUGAGGAUUUGGUUUACCUGAUCACCAGUAACAACAGCGCGAAAAUAUCUUCCCACCAAGUACAAGUAUCUUGUGAAAUUAACUAAGACACCAUAGAGUAUUGAAUGUCUAUUGACUAACAACAUAGCUUGCCAUCACCAAGCCCGGGGAUCCAUAGAUCAUUCCAGAUGUUUACCGAGGCACUCAUACCUAUAUGCCAACCUAUCCCUAUUUGCAGAAGGCCCCUCGCGCCUGGAAGACUUCACUAGGUAAAAGAAGGGUAAGUGCCCAGUCUUCCAAAAUUAAAAUCCCUAUUCGGGUGAUAUCGUGCUUGCAAAACUCUCGCUAACAAGCAGUCAGGCUGUGUCAAUACACGUCAACCCUGCUUCGCUAAGAAUGCUACAUCAAAAGAUGCAAAACCAUAGAAACCCAAACCUCCAUCAGUUUUUGCCAAGCAUAAGUAUUGCCAUGUGCUCCAGUGUAUGCCCUUACAAGUUUUGGUAUUCUGCCACCAAAAAGCACUAAGCACACCUUCUAAUUUACAACACAAUUCAACAAACAUAAGAAAACAUUGCAUGGCAUAAACUGGAAUUAAUUGCAUAACGGCUUUGAUAAGCACCUUAUUCCCUCCCAUCGAUAACAACUGCAUGUUCAAAUUGUCUAAACGCUUUUGAAACCUAUCCAAAUAGUGUUGAAAAUCCCUAUUUCUGUUCCUUACCACCAUCAUAGGCAAUUCCAAAUAAGUCUCAAGGCUUAAGGCCACUCAAACGCCAAGAAUUGCACCCAACUGUUUUUUGACCUCGACUCCAACAUUUGCCCUAAAGUAGAUAAGGAACUUUUCAAAAUUCACCUUUUGCCCGAAAGCUUACUUAUAUUCUGAAACAGCAUGGAGGACCCCAGCAACCCCUUCCAUCGAAGUAGUACCAAAUAGGAUAUAGUCAUCAGCAAAAAGCAAAUGGUUGAGCGUCAUUCCUCCCCUACCAAGCCAAACUCCCAUUAUUAAACCCGAAUGUUUAGCCCCUCCAAUAAAGCCAAAAAACCUUGCACACAUAAUAAGAAAAGGUAAGUGGUCAGUUGGUCGCCCUGACGAAGGCCUCUAGAGCAACAAAACUGACAUUACGAAUCCCAUUGAUCCCAACCGUGUAAGAAAAAGAGUCGGCAGACCACAUAAUCAAAGUCACCCAAUCCAAAUGAAACCCACUGAAGUAUCAUCCCGACAAAAAAAUCUCAUUCCACUCUGUCGUAUGCCUUGCUCAUAUCAAGUUUUAGAGCGAACUGUUUGACUUUCCCUUAUCUCCAAACCUUCAACAGGUGCAGAAUCUCAUAUGCAACCAACACAUUAUCAAAAAUCUGUCUACCAAGGAUGAAAGCUCAUUGAGCCUCAUGUAUACAACAAUCCAAACAGCCACUCAUUCUAUUCACAACCACUUUAGCAAUGAUUUUAUACAACAUGGUACUCAAGCUAAUAGGUUGAAAUUGUGCGAUAGACUUUGGCUUACUAACUUUUGAGAUUAAUAGAAUAUGAGUUUUAUUGAUGUUGUCAAUCACAAUGUCACCCUGAAGCAUUGCAAGGAAAAAUGUGGUCACAUCCUCUCCCAAAAUGUGCCAAAUUUUCUAAUAAAAUAAGGCUGGGAAACUAUCAACACAAAGAGCUCGUAAAGGGGCUAUAUCUUUAAUAGCCACCCAAAUCUCCUCAACCAUGAAAGGUUGCAUCAAACUAAUGUUCAUCUCGUUAGAAACUCUCCGUUCAACAUUGGAAAAUAUCAUAUCUACCUCUCCUGCUUCUGAAGUAGUGAACAAAUCCCUAAAGUAAGAUGUAGCCAAUCCUAGGAGACUCUCCUUGUUUGAUAUCCAACUACCUGAAUCAUUCUGAAUACCCUCGACAUUGUUAUGUUAUUUUCUUACCGAGGCCAUUCUAUGGAAAAAAAUGACGAGUUUUGGUCUCCAUACGGGAGCCAAUUUAGGUGAGACCAUUGUUCCCAGUAGAUUUCCUUCCGAUCAGCCUCUAAAUUUAAUCAUGAUUGAACUUCUGUCAACUCGGCAAUGGUGGUAUCAUCCAAGUCUUGCACAUACAAUUCGGCCAGUCUGUUCUCUAACUUCUUUUUCGCCGCCUUCAUACACUUUGUCGCAUACGAAUUCAAUGUAAAAUUUUUUUGCCUAAGCCCUCUAGUUUAGAUGGCAAAUCAGAUGUAACUGAAAUCUAAUAACCCUGAAGUUCAUUCUUGAAAGAACAAUCCAAACACCAAUAUGUAAGGAACCUAAACCUCAAAUAGUCCCUCCAAUCUAACUGGUACUACGACCCAUAGUAUUCACCAACACCAAAUAAUGAUUGAAAAUAGAAUGAGGCAAAUAGGUAACAGUAUAACUAGGAAACUUACUCCACCAAUCUAAGUUAGCUAACCCUCUGUCUAAUCGUUCUCAUAUGUUAGUUGCAGCCAGUCUGCCCCUCUCCCAAGUAAACCAAUAGCGCAAGAAACCCAAAUCACUAAGAUCACAAUCCUGUAGAGUAUUACGAAAAGCAACCAUGUGUUUUUCCAUGCAGGUCCACUUCCCAAAGGAGAAAGCUAUCUCGUUAAAGUCCCUGAAAACUAACUAAUGAAGACUCAGAUCAUGGCCUAAAUGACAAAGGAGAUCCCAUGUACCGCUCCUAAAUCUCUUAUUUGAAUGUCUGUAGAAACCUGUAAAACACCAUUACAUCUCAUCAUGUAUGUCAAAGAUCUCUACAUCAAUAUGGUGCUGCGAAUAACUCCGCAAAAUGACAAUAUCUUAUGGUCUCCAACCUAACAAUAACCCACCAUUAGAACCAACAAAACAUACAUCGAAGCCAUGCAAAAAGCCACACUUCCCCCGAAAACUUCCCAUUUUUUAUGUACUAAUCUUUGUCUCCAUUAGAAACAAAAGCUAGAGACAAACUUCUCUCAGUUUAUUCCUAAGGCGAUGAACUGCCCGUGGCUUCCUUAACCCACGGACGUUCCAACUUAAGGUUUUUAUUACGGUUGAUUGACCUGCCUAGCAAAGCUAACCGAUAUGUCAUUAUUGCCCUAAGGCAUAGGUCAUCACUUGAAUCCAAAUUUUGAGGAAUUCCCAACGUGCGUUGAUGUUUCUUGAUGUUAUCUGACUGAAUAGGACUAUGUUCAUCCUCCAACCCUAUCUCCAUAAUUGACACAACAGCUAUUCCAAAAUCAUAAUACCCUGAACCCAAAUUGGAAUCACUGCGUGUCCCCAACAGAAUACCAUUACAAAAAGGGCAACUUGGGUGUGUAGUGAGAGGAAUACGAUUCCCCGGACUAUAGUUGCAAUCCUUAUACCAAUUUGGACUCAGAGAUCUAUCCAGAUCUUGCAACCACCUACUAGUUUCAGCUGGAUUCCUUCUCGCCGGUGCUCAUAAAGAGAUAUUCCAUCCAAAAAAAAUAUCUGACACCGCCACUCGAACCCGUACCAAACAAAAGUUUUCUCUGUGCUUAAACAGACGACAAAUAAAGCAGAACAUGCUCAAUUUUUCAUACUGAAACCUAGCAUAAAAUGGGCAUUCGCCCACGAGAACCUUCUUCUUUCGCUGAAGGGCGACAUACACAUCUAACCUUACCUUCAACUACAAAUACCGUUGUACCUCAAAGGAUGGAAUCUUGGUAUCAUAAAGUAAGAAUUCACCAAGGAAAGGCCCAAAUCAUCGUCCCAAUGUUUCAGACAGUAAUUCGGGUGGUAAAUCAUGCACAUGUACCCAGAAGACAGCAUGGUGGAGAGGCAAUGUGUGAGGGUCUUGACUUGGCUGUAACGGCUCUAGUAGCAGUAAAUGGUUGUUAAGAAACCAAGACAUUCCCUUGAAAACCCUAUUGAAAUCAACGACAUGAAAGAACUUAAACAAGUAGCGUUUCGCAUCCAAGUCAAUAAUGGCAAUACCCCCAAUAGAGCUAUAGACCAGCCAUAGUGUUCCCUACAGAAGGGAAGUAAACCACACUAUCAAUCAAGCAACUAUCAACUAGAAAAAAUUGAAAUUCAUCCUCAGUCUCAAUUGCUUCUUCUUGAAAAGCGUCUUCCUCCUCCUCCUCCUCCUCUUCCUCCUCCUCCUCAAGGUUCAAAUUUUCCAUCUCGUCCUCCAUACUUUUACUAGACCGGGAGAAACCGAUAGUAAUUGCUAAAGAAAGAAAGAAAACGGGGAAGAAAUGGGAAACCUACAACCUGCCAACUAGGAUGACGAAAACCGUGUCAAAAAGAUAAACUAAACCUCCCACAAUAGAGAAUAUUUACUUUCACACAAAAAAAGAAUAGCGAAGAAAAGUGAGAGAAAAAUAAAUAAGAAAAAUGAUCAUUUUACAUAAUACAUUGCCAGUAACAUGUUUUUUAAUUAGCCUAAAUAUGUGGAGUUUCCACUUGUUUAUUUGGGCUCCAAGUGUCUUUAUUUUAUGGUGCCCAAUGGUAAAUAUGUAACAAUGCAAACAAAAAUAACAUGUCAAUUUUGUGUUUUUAUUACUUUAGUAUAUAUUAAUUUUCUGUCUCUAGCGAUGCACAAUAACUUGUGUAUUUUAUAAAAUUAUUAUUUAAUAACAACAUAUUAAUUACAUUUAUUGAUUCUGAAAAUACAAACAACUUUAAAAAUAUGUUUUAAGUUUUUGAAAUAUAAUAUAUUUAUAAUAUUAUGAAUAUAAUUUAUAUUUUAAUUAUGAAGAAAAAAAUUUUAAAACACAAAACUAUUGUAAUAUGUAUAUAUAAUAACUGAUUCAGAAUGUUGGUUUAAAUAAUUUUAAUCUUAGAAAUAAAGUUUUGUAUAAUUCUUCUAUAUUAGAAAUAAUGUCUAAUAUAACAAAAAAGAACUCAUACCAUACAUAUUUACAAUUGACUUAUUUUAACUCGAUUUUCAAAGCUUAUAAGUUUAAUUAUUUUUCGAUUUUUAACUUAAAAUAUUAGUAAUUUAAGCUAAAAGUUGACUCUUCAAACAUUAUUGAAAUUUGGACCAAUGAGCUUAAAGAAAGGGAUUUGGGCCUGAAUAAACAUUGGGUUUGACUUUUAACUUAUAAUUUUGAAUAUAUAUUACUAUAAUUAUAUUAAAUAUUUAUUUUUUUAUUAAUAAAAAAAUCCAAAAAAAAUUUAAAAAAAGGAAGAUUAUAAAAAGGUCCUUCAACUUUUCAAAUCAUUACAAUUUGGACUUUUGUCCUUUUCCUAUACCAUUUUCAGAACCUUUUGCUUAGCUGUUACCACCUUAUCAGCCACCCUCAACAUUGGCCACCUCCACAAACCAACCAUUUUCCUCUACAACCAUUACACCUGUAACACCCCUUACUCAAUCCGAUAUUUGGGUCAAGGUAUUGGGAUGUCACAUUUAUUGCCGGAGUAACUAUAAUAAUAUCAUAUCAACAAAACAUUCAUAAUGCAUAAAAUAAUAUGAUUUUCUAGCUUAACUAAGCUUAGACGAACAUUUUGAAAGCUUCCUAAGUAGCCAAAACUCAAUCCGAGACAAAAAAGAUAAAGAUUCAAGCCAUCGAAAGCUCAACGCGAGUCACUAAGCUCUAUGUCGCAACAUGACAAAUUGUUAAAGCUCGUCAUGACAUCAUUAGGUUCCAUGUCGUGACGUGACAAACUGUAAAAGCUCGUUGUGAUGUCAACAGGCCGUCAUUGCGACGUUGAUCGUGCAACUUCAAAACCUGCACAUUUUGCUCCCUAACCACCUUAAACCACUUCCAUAGGCUAUAUCCCUUCCAAACAACCAAUAACCAUUGCUAAUAUACAUUUACCAACCAUAAACAUUACUCAAAUCAUCAUGAAACUACUUCAAACAUAUCCAAAAUACAAAGUUUAUAAUGAAUAUCAAUGUCCAACAAUUUCAUCCUUUAAAUAAUAUAUUUAACAUUCUUGAUAAAUUCCUAUGUACAUGCCAAAUCUAUGCCCAAAAGUUUGAAAUCAUACUUCCUUCAAAGCUUAAGAUGUGAUGAGAUGAGUUGGAAACCAUCUUCACCUACAUAUUUGAAAGAAACGCAUUAAGCUCAUGAGAGCUUAGUAAGCAUAUCAAGAAUUAAACAACACAUUUAAAAUUCAUUCCAUACACAUACAUAGUUAUAUACUUAUAUGUAAAAAUUAUUAUAUAAUACUAUCAUUAAUCUUUAUCAUCAUGCAUAAAUUUUAUUUCAAUAAAAUCUACAAUAAGAUGCCAAUCCAAUAAAAUACAAACCACUUACCAUUGCCACUUAAUUUUCAUUUACCUUUUUUUAUCGAGUGGCCCCAUUGUAGACUUAAUAGAACAUAAUAAGAUAUACAGAAAUAACGAUAAGAUGCAUCAAAGUGGCACUGUAAUGGCCUAAAUUCAAGGUUAUCGGAACAAUGAUUUCGUAACCAUAGAUCCGAUUUAAAGAGAAAUUUAUUUCAAUAUUUUUGCUUGAAAAUUGAUAUGAUAGGAAAAUCGUAUGAAAAUAUUGAUAGAAAAAUUUUAUCGAUUUAGUGAUUAGAUAGAAAAAGAAAUUAUUGAAGAAAUUGGGUAAAAACAAGGUAUCGAGACCUCUAUCUCGUAAAACCGAGUCAAAAAUAAUUUUAUAAAUAUUUAUGAAAUGUUAUUAAUGUGGUAUUAAAAUUUCGUUAGGAAAUUUUAAUGUUUGGGUAGUCAAUUAAAUGAAAAAGACUAAAUUGUAAUAGGUGUAAAAGUUGCUAGAGUGAUUAAAUAGCUUAAGAAUCUAAUGAGAAAGGAUUUAAAAGGCAUUAGACCCAAAAGUUAUUUGGGCUGGACGGCAAGGGUAUGAAAUCAGUAGAAAAAUUGAUAAAUUAAGGGUAAAAUUGGAAUAUUGCAAAAUUAACUAAAUAAAACUAGGACUAAAUAGGAAAUAUCUAGAUUUCUCUUCAUUUCUCUUCAAUUCCAGCAGCUAAAAACGCCACAGGAGGGUUCUCUAAGCUGGUAUUUCAUAAUUUUUUAACCAAGUGAGUUAAUCCUUGCCUUUUUCUUGUAAUUUUUGUGUUUCUAAGACUUUUACAACUAGGUCUUACUAUUAAAUUUAUUAGUUUUUGAUUUCAUGGAUGAAAUUGAAAGUCACCAUGGUUGAGUUCUGUAAGUUUAUGAUGAAAUAGAAUGAAAUUAAAGCUUUAAUUUGUUUAUGAGAUGAUUUUAUUAGGUAAUUUCAAUAGAAAUUGAUUUUUAGGACCUAAUUGUGAAAAUGCCUGGAAUUAAAGUCUAUUGCUGAAAUUCUGAUUCCUAAAGGUUUUAAAUUAGUUUAAGGUGAUAGAAUAAAAUGUUAAUUGAGAAAAAUCAGCUCAAUUGAGAGGCUAAUUGAGUAGGGACGAAAUUAUCAUUUAUUAAAAGCUUAGGGGAAAAUGGUAAUAAACAGCUUACACAAAAACAGUUUGGACAGCAGCAGUAGACUAAAUUUGAAAAAUCACCAUAAAUUGUAGAAAUCGAAUUAGAGGAUGAAAAAAAUAUGGCAUUAAAGCUUAUUGAGUCUAGUUUCUCAUAGAAGAAAUAGUGUAAGCAAUGGAUUUUUAAAUUUUGAGAUAUAAUGAAUUUUGUGAGAGAAUGUCAGAAUGAAUUCGGGUUCCUCUGUUCUGAAUUUGAAAAAUCAUAAAAAAAUUGAAUAAAAACAAUUAUGGGCUUAAAUUUAUAUGUAUAGAAUCCUUAAUGAGUCUAUUUUUAAUAGAAACAAACAAGAACAUUAUUUGAAUUCUGUAUGAAUAGAUAAUUAAUUUUUAGUGAAAAAUGGUCAGAACUGUCGACAGCAGAACAGGGGUGACUUUAAAGAAUAAACUGUACUUGUUGGAUAAACCAAAAGUUCUGAAAAUUUUAUGGUAAAAAUAUAUAUGAGUCUAGAUUUAGGGAAAAUUAAUGGAUCUUAAUUUGGAGUUCCGUAGCUCAAGUUAUAAAUAAUUUAGUGACUAUAACUCAAGUACACAGCUUUGAAUGAACUAUAAAUAAUAGUUGAAUUAUAGAGAAUGUUGCAUAUGAACAUGAAAUGUAUUAAAUUCAUAAUUAAACUUAUUUAUUUAGAUCCAGAAGAUUCAAAUAUGAAGCUAGAUCGAGGAAAGGAAAAAGUUCGGGAUUAGUAGAUUUUUAUUGUUUACAAACAAGUAUCAAGGUAAGUUCAUGUAACUUGAAUUAUAUUCUUAAAUGCUUGAAAAGCAUGUUUUUGAUAUGAAUAUGAUUUGAAUGUUCAUUAUAUGAAAUUAAUAAAACAUUGAUAUAUUUGAUAAAAUGGGAAGAAAUCCCGGUUGAAUGAAAGGAAAAUUCGAUGGAUCUCUGAAAAGGAAUUGACGAUAAAAAGGAUCUUUCCUGGACGGGUGAUCCUAUCUUGAUAUAGCCCUCCCGAAGAAUAUGUGUAAAAUGGAUUUAGCCCGGACGGGUAAUCCGAAUUAGGGUCUGAAUUUAGCCUGGACUGGUAAUUCAGAUCCAAGCUCAUUAGAGUAAUUGUCGUUGCAGGGGAUUUAGCCUGGACUGGCAAUCCCGACAAUACUCUAUGAGUUUAUAUUGCAGGGGAUUUAGCCUGGACUGGUAAUCCCGCGCAAGGUUGAGGUUCGUGGGAGUGUGCUCCCUGAAAUGGAAAUGUGCGCACAUGAAUAUGAAUUGAUAGACCCGGAAUUGUACACUAAAAGUGUACCUUUGAAAAUCCAUCAAAAAUUCCAAGAAAUUCAACGGGAUAAAUAUGGAAAAAUAACAAGGAAAUGGAAAUCAUGGUAUUGACGAGCUCAUCAAUCAUGGUAUAUAUUAUUGGUACAUGGAAAUUAUUGUACUAACUUGAAUGUUGAGUUUGUGCAUAUUAGGGUAAUAAUGCAUUGAAUGGAUAUAUGGAUGUUUAUUGUAUUGUAUUGAAAAUAUUAGGUAAGUAUGAUUCUUGUUACAUGAGCUUACUAAGCACGAAGUGCUUACCCCGUUUCCUUUUUUCCUGUUUUGUAGUGUUAAGAGCUCGGAG
RNAcentral lists this long non-coding RNA (10266 nucleotides) under Gossypium barbadense (sea-island cotton). RNAcentral describes it as "long non-coding RNA (GBAR_LNC001988)". The record is from RNAcentral. Lineage: Eukaryota; Viridiplantae; Streptophyta; Magnoliopsida; Malvales; Malvaceae.